UACGUAGGGUGCAAGCGUUGUCCGGAAUUAUUGGGCGUAAAGAGCUCGUAGGCGGUCUGUUGCGUCGGCUGUGAAAGCCCGGGGCUCAACUCCGGGCCUGCAGCCGAUACGGGCAGACUAGAGUUCGGCAGGGGAGACUGGAAUUCCUGGUGUAGCGGUGAAAUGCGCAGAUAUCAGGAGGAACACCGGUGGCGAAGGCGGGUCUCUGGGCCGAUACUGACGCUGAGAAGCGAAAGCGUGGGGAGCGAACAGG
This 253-nucleotide ribosomal RNA is filed under the name uncultured bacterium. RNAcentral's name for it is "partial 16S ribosomal RNA". It matches the Rfam family "Bacterial small subunit ribosomal RNA", at positions 524 to 776 of the family's 1533-position model. The record is from RNAcentral.